RNAcentral lists this ribosomal RNA (374 nucleotides) under uncultured bacterium. Its description in RNAcentral is "bacterial SSU rRNA". It matches the Rfam family "Bacterial small subunit ribosomal RNA", at positions 524 to 898 of the family's 1533-position model. The record is from RNAcentral.
GACGGAGGGUGCUAGCGUUGUUCGGAAUCACUGGGCGUAAAGGGCGCGUAGGCGGCGCCGCAAGUCGGCUGUGAAAGCCCGGGGCUCAACCCCGGAGGUGCAGCCGAGACUGUGGUGCUGGAGGCCGGAAGAGGAGGGUGGAAUACCCAGUGUAGAGGUGAAAUUCGUAGAUAUUGGGUGGAACACCGGUGGCGAAAGCGGCUCUCUGGUCCGGACCUGACGCUGAGGCGCGAAAGCGUGGGGAGCAAACAGGAUUAGAUACCCUGGUAGUCCACGCCCUAAACGAUGUGAGCUAGGCGUCGGGGGGCUUGCCCUUCGGUGCCGCAGCUAACGCAUUAAGCUCACCGCCUGGGGAGUACGGCCGCAAGGUUAAA